RNAcentral lists this long non-coding RNA (554 nucleotides) under Malus domestica (apple). RNAcentral's name for it is "long non-coding RNA (MDOM_LNC001992)". The record is from RNAcentral. Lineage: Eukaryota; Viridiplantae; Streptophyta; Magnoliopsida; Rosales; Rosaceae.
UUUACUUAACGUGAUUGUGACUAGCAACCUUCACUACUUGUGAAUAUAAGUUCAUAACGAUUAGGUGAAAUUCCCUUAUAUUCUAGCGUUAAAUUCAUGCAUGAAAAUUAAGCGUGCACUCUCAACCAACAUACACAAAUCAUUUUUUAUAUGAUCGGAUAAGUAAAUUGAAUUCACAACUUAUGAAUCACAACUGGAUGUAAUCAAAUCAUAUUGCAAGUAUGAACAUGGUUUCGAAUCACCCCCUAACUAAGAGGGGUUUAGUUCCUCAUACUCACAAAGCAAAGAUACAUAAAAUUAGACAUUAAAAUCAAAGGAAAGAAAACACCUAAAAUGCUCCAACUUGGGUAGCAAGUGCAUCCAAGAAUUCUCCUUUGCUUGCUUGCGGCAGAUUGCUUUGUGGACAGAUUUUUUGGUAGUUUUAUGAUGUAGAAUGGAUGGGGAAUGGUAUGAAAAGGUUUAUGGUGAGUGUAGAGGAGUGUUUGAUGGUGGAAGGGUGGUGGAGAACUAGGCAAAGAGGGUGGAAGAAGGUGGAGUGGCUGUUAUGUUUUCUA